AACAGCUCACAGCCAGGAUUUGAUUUCCUCAGCUGCAAAAGGCCUGGGGCAGGGUGGGGCGGGACACACUGUAGGAGCACCUGUCCCAGUGGCCCGAGGGGCAGGGACACAGCGACAGGGCAGGGACACAGCGACAGUCCCGGCUGCUGCUGGCCCCGCCCCUCCAGGGUGUCAUCUUAUUAAGGCAAUGGUGUGGGCCAGCAGCGCAGGGCAGACCCAGCCCAGCCGGGUGAUCUGCGGCUGGGCUAAUUUGGGAAAUUAUUUCUUUGCAGGGUCAUACGUGAGUCAUCUGCCCAGGCCUCUUCCAGGUCGCCUGGCGACCAGGGAUCCCACUGAAACUGACUCUGCCAACAGCUGCUCCAAACCAGGAAACAUUUGGGCUGCUGUGGGUCGGAAAGGGGAUGUGGAGGAAGGAACCGGACUGCUCACGGAGGGCUAGGGCAUCCUCUAGAACCCGAGCUUGGGCAGGCAGGGCCAGUUCCCCAUUUCACUUCCUCGGGCUGUGAUCUCCGAGCUCCGCCUGGCCAGCGCCCGAGUUUCCCUGCAUGCUCACCGGCUUGGGCAGGAGAAUGGAGAGCACCAAAGACAGAGCACCAAAGACACCUUCGGAAAACUCCAGGAAACUACAGGAACGCACCAGGCUGGCCUGCCACUGCCCCUAACCUCAUGCAGUGAGCAGAGGCCGCCCAAAGUCCCUUGGUGAGGGCACCUGUUACACUGUUUCCAUGGGAAGUCCUAACCAUGGGAGGAAAGAGGGGGCAAGACCCGAGAAGUUCAAAGCUGAUCUAAAUACACACAGCCAAUCUGCCUAAGAGGCCCUCUUUCCUAGGCCACAAAAAUGCUUGCCUAAAAAAAAAAAAAAAAAAUGCUUGCCUAGUAUGCACAAGGCCCAGGGUUCAGCCCUGAGAACCACGCACACGCAUGCACACGCACACACACACAGACAAGCACAAGCACAGCCCAAGUGAUCCUACUUGCACUUUAAUGAGUCUGUGCUUUUUUUUUCCGGUAUUGAGACAGGGUCUUGCUAUGAUCCUCCUGCCUCAGCCUCCAGAGUGCUGGGAUUACAAACCUGUGCCCCAAUGGCAUGUGGCACGAGUCCUAUUCUGAAAGAUACACAGC
Molecule: long non-coding RNA, 1122 nt
Filed under: Cavia porcellus (domestic guinea pig)
Lineage: Eukaryota; Metazoa; Chordata; Mammalia; Rodentia; Caviidae
Description: lncRNA (ENSCPOG00000037317.1)
Source: RNAcentral